Mus spicilegus (steppe mouse) is the source of this 1883-nucleotide long non-coding RNA. Lineage: Eukaryota; Metazoa; Chordata; Mammalia; Rodentia; Muridae. The record is from Ensembl.
AGGGGAUACGUUAGAUUGGCUUACGUGGAAUGGGCUGGGGAGCCCAGCAAUGGCUGUCUGACCUCUAGAGAGGCCGAGAAUGCUACAAUCAGCUCAGUCCGUGGGACUGGAUGCCUCAAUAGGCCUAGGCUGGCACUGAAGGCUGGAGAUUCUAGGAGAGCAGUGGGUCUCAGUUUACAUUGGAAGGCUGAUGAAGCUGGGUUCUGACCGCUGCCACGAUAGCUGAGAGCAAGCAGGAGCAGUGACGUGAACCAGAGAGACUCUUAUCAGCAGGAAAGGAAGGCAGGUGAGCUUCCUUCUUUCUAUCUGGGCAGCUGCUGGAAGGUGCCACCCACUGUGGGAGGGUCUUCCUGCCCCAGUUAGUCCUUCCUGGAAAUCCCCUCACAGACACUCCUCCCCAUACCUUGCACGUCCCUUAAUUUCAGAUCCAAUCCAGUUGACGACCAAGACUAACCAUCGCAUGUGUGGACUGAGAUCAUCAUAUGUGGAUAGCUACUGAAGGGACCUUCCAUCCAGAAGGACCCACACCUACCACAGUGCCCUGCUGCCUUCCAGACUAUCUGUUAGACCUUGGUCAUCUCUGGUCAUUUGUCAGGCCUGGCCAAUCCACUCCAGAAUAGUGUGUGUUCACCAACAGUGUGUUAUCUCCAGGGACCCAACCAAGGGAGCCGACUGGUGCAUUCUGGCAUUCUGUGGACAGCCCAACGCCAACUUCACCCGGCUGGGUGAUAUUGGCCUCCUUACAUGCUGCCUUGGCUGGAAACCAGGCAGGGGAAUGAGCAGUGGGCAGAGGGCCUCCACAGCCCUUCUCCCACUCCCCACCCUCCCCUUUCCAUGCUUCCUUUGUGGACAGAGGCCACUGAGUGCUUGUUGUUCACGGUAAGCAUCCCUUUUAGGGAGUCCUGAGCAAUAUUUUUUCCUACCUUCAAAAUUCUCUCUGGCAACACCCUUCUUCCUGUCAUAAUGGCUCCCUAUGGUCCAAACAGCACGUGUACCACCCUGAGUAGUACUUAAGGCCAAGAAUCAUGUCUCAUAUAUUUUUGUGUCUCCCGCCUUUAAAUUGCAGCAGGGUUCUGGGUAAUGGCUGUCCCAUGAAUGUUGUCUAGAUCAGAGUAAGACCUUUCUAUCUUGUCCAGCCUGCUGCUAAAUGUCUUGCUGGAUUUUAAACUGCUGCUGGACACCUCACUGAUACUAGAUGUCAAGACACCCGGUGCUGAAUGCUGAGGAGAGGCGACAGUACUUGAGAGCCAUCAUUAGCCCUGGGUGUGUCCAAGUUCUGUCUCCACGUGGAAUGAGUGGAGGCAGUGUUCUGGAAGGAGCUGCUUCUAGCAGGCAGAGAUGGAUAUGUGCUGCUGUUCCGUGAUCUCAGAACUUUAGAAGCCAGGCCCCCAUGUGAGCUUCCAGGAUGAUGGUGCCAAGGACGCCAGUCAUCAGAGUGGCUGGGAAUGGAACAGUAUCCCGGAAAGUCUCAGAGAAGCCCUGCAUGAGCACAGAACUGUGGGAUGGCAGAGCAAGUGGGUUACCCAAAAAUAGCAGCACUGCUUUCCCGUGGUGAAGGAUUAGUUCUCUGGCAUCCAUUGUGGGACACUUAGUGCAAGAUUGCAUAUCUAUGGAAAGGCAGGGGAAAGGGUCAAAGCGUCCACCCAGAAACGGACAUCAGCGGCCUCUUCCAAGAGCAGCCAAACAGGUAAGAGAGCAAGAAACCCUGAUUCAGAGGCCUGGGCUGGUAGUGGCAGGGCCUGGAAGCAUCCUUGGUGCCUGCUUUCAGCAGCACAUGGUGGUGGGCAGACUCUGACCUAACCACCAUAGGGGCUUCCACUGAGAAGUGUGUGUGUGUGUGGUGCCUGUGUGCGCACAUGCGUGUGCAUGUGUGUACAGAUGUG